GAGCUUACUAAGCUUUUGAAAGCUUACUUUGCGUGUGUUUACAUUGUUUUAUAUAUAUCGAAUCUACUAUAAGCUCGGGGAUCAUCAAGGAUCAUCACCACACUAUCGAACCUCAUUUUGGUAUUUUGAAAUUGUAUAUUUUGAAGUAUGGCAUGUAUAGGCUAGUAGUUGUGGGAUUAUGUUUUGUGAUGUAUAUAUUUAGC
RNAcentral lists this long non-coding RNA (203 nucleotides) under Gossypium barbadense (sea-island cotton). Its description in RNAcentral is "long non-coding RNA (GBAR_LNC005377)". The record is from RNAcentral. Lineage: Eukaryota; Viridiplantae; Streptophyta; Magnoliopsida; Malvales; Malvaceae.